This 252-nucleotide unclassified non-coding RNA is filed under the name Hevea brasiliensis (rubber tree). Lineage: Eukaryota; Viridiplantae; Streptophyta; Magnoliopsida; Malpighiales; Euphorbiaceae. The record is from RNAcentral.
GAAAAAGUGUAUUUAUAGAUAGAUGCAACUUAGAUAGAGAACAGCGAGCCGAUUUUGUGAAGCUUGUCGGUCCACAAGUUGAGAAACACGCUGUGGCACUUGAUCUUCCAGCUAAGCUUUGUAUUUCUCGGUCGGUUAAGAGGACAGAGCAUGAGGGAAAUUUGCAAGGUGGGAAAGCUGCUGCAGUUGUGAAUAGGAUGCUGCAAAAGAAAGAGUUGCCUAAGCUGAAUGAAGGGUAUGAUAGAAUUACAG